GCUGACGCCAUCACUGUUGUCCAGUCACUGCUAUUUACAGCUUUGAUCGUCGUUCUCACCGUCUCUCAGACAAGAAGACCCUCACCUGAAAGUCAUGAAGCGCCUUGUGUGUCUAUUUCUGAUCAUCAUGGUGUCAGAGGUGGUGGUGGAAGGCCUGUCCAUCCAAGGGAGGAAUGAUCUGGACCCGUGUGUCCUACACGGGGAGGGUUACUGUCAGUACCGGUGUCGUCAGCAGCAGCUCAGCGGCUUCUGUAACGAGGAAAACCGCUGCAUCUGCUACUACGACCCCAACAACUUCUUCUGAAAGACAGGAUAGCAGGUGAUGUGUGGAGGCGCCGCCUAGCGGUUGACCAACGAAGUUCACCCUGUCUCCCAAAGGGUUUUCUGAUUCCACACAGGAAAAAUAAACAAUCCAUGCAGAAAUAGAUGGUA
Long non-coding RNA from Branchiostoma belcheri (Belcher's lancelet), 432 nucleotides. RefSeq lists it as uncharacterized. The transcript has 3 exons. NCBI's taxonomy places the organism in Eukaryota, Metazoa, Chordata, Leptocardii, Amphioxiformes, Branchiostomatidae. The record is from RefSeq and is a predicted model, not a curated record.